CCAAGAAUCUUCCGCAAUGGGGGAAACCCUGACGGAGCGACGCCGCGUGAAGGAAGAAGGUCUUCGGAUUGUAAACUUCUUUUCUAAGGGAAGAAUAAGGAGCGAGGAAAUGCGUCUCCGAUGACGGUACCUUAGGAAUAAGCCCCGGCUAAUUACGUGCCAGCAGCCGCGGUAAUACGUAAGGGGCGAGCGUUGCUCGGAAUUACUGGGCGUAAAGGGCGUGUAGGCGGUCCUGCAAGUCGAAUGUAAAAAACUACGGCUCAACCGUGGGAAUGCGUUCGAAACUGCAGGGCUUGAGUCUGGUGGAGGGUAAUGGAAUUCCCGGUGUAGCGGUGAAAUGCGUAGAUAUCGGGAAGAACACCGAAGGCUAAAGCAGUUAUCUAUGCCAAGACUGACGCUGAGGCGCGAAAGCAUGGGGAUCAAACAGG
RNAcentral lists this ribosomal RNA (428 nucleotides) under uncultured bacterium. RNAcentral's name for it is "bacterial SSU rRNA". It matches the Rfam family "Bacterial small subunit ribosomal RNA", at positions 355 to 776 of the family's 1533-position model. The record is from RNAcentral.